AGACUUCUGUAUCCGUGCUGAGAUUUCGUCAAACACCAGAUCACUAGGGUUGAUGAGACUCCCAAGAUAAGUGAGGCG
This 78-nucleotide microRNA precursor is filed under the name Schistosoma mansoni. RNAcentral's name for it is "mir-3492 microRNA precursor family". It matches the Rfam family "mir-3492 microRNA precursor family". The record is from Rfam by way of RNAcentral. Lineage: Eukaryota; Metazoa; Platyhelminthes; Trematoda; Strigeidida; Schistosomatidae.